ACUCCUACGGGAGGCAGCAGUGGGAAUAUUGCACAAUGGGGAAGCCAUCGAUGCAGCCAUGCCGCGCUGUGUGAAGAAGGCCAAUUCGGGCUUGGUUAAAGACACUUUUCAGUAGGGAGGAAGGUAGUGUAGUUAACACCUGCACUAUGUGACGUUACCCACAGAAGAAGCACCGGCUAACUCCGUGCCAGCAGCCGCGGUAAUACGGAGGGUGCAAGCGUUAAUCGGAAUUACUGGGCGUAAAGCGUGCGCAGGCGGUCUGUUAAGCGAGAUGUGAAAGCCCGC
Molecule: ribosomal RNA, 285 nt
Filed under: uncultured bacterium
Lineage: Bacteria
Description: partial 16S ribosomal RNA
Rfam family: Bacterial small subunit ribosomal RNA
Source: RNAcentral